Molecule: long non-coding RNA, 225 nt
Filed under: Zonotrichia albicollis (white-throated sparrow)
Lineage: Eukaryota; Metazoa; Chordata; Aves; Passeriformes; Passerellidae
Description: lncRNA (ENSZALG00000004398.1)
Source: RNAcentral
UUCUUUAUUUCUAUCUAAACAUUCUUUUUGACCACUUUUCCCAGGCUGUGAUCCCUUGAUAUUGUUCAUGGGUUUGGUGCACGAUUCAAGCACAAUUCCAGAACAGGAGAAUUCCCACGGACAUCAGCAGGUACCUGAAGAUCUCCAAACCAUUCCUUCCUCCUGGGUGUGCACAGCACUGUAGAUAUGCAGCCAAUCAUGCACAUCGCAUUUACCUGGUGUGAG